RNAcentral lists this ribosomal RNA (499 nucleotides) under uncultured bacterium. Its description in RNAcentral is "partial 16S ribosomal RNA". It matches the Rfam family "Bacterial small subunit ribosomal RNA", at positions 28 to 507 of the family's 1533-position model. The record is from RNAcentral.
GACGAACGCUGGCGGCGUGCUUAACACAUGCAAGUCGAACGGGCCCGCUCUCUUUUUUGGGGGUGGGUUGAGUGGCGAACGGGGGAGUAUCACGUUAGUAACCUGCCCCCUGCUCCUGGGUAACUGUUUGAAAGAGCGGCUAAUACGGGGUGUACCGGCUGGUCCGCAUGGGCCUGGUCGGGCUAGUUUCAUCUUCGGGUGUUUCGGUGGGGGAUGGGCUCGGGGCGUAUCAGCAUGUUGGUGGGGUGAUGGCCCACCCUGGCGGUGAUGGGUAGCCGGCCUGGGAGGGUGGGCGGCCAGACUGGGACUGAGGCACGGGCCAGACUCCGGCGGGAGGAAGCGGUGGGGGGGAUCGCACAGUGGGAGGAAGCCGGAUGCAGCGACGUCGCGUGAGGGAGGGAGGCCGUCGGGUUGGGAACCUCUGUGGCGGGUGGGGAAGGCCAUGUCCGUUGCGGCGGGGUUGACGGUAGCCGGGUAUGAAGCGCCGGCUAACUACGUG